Molecule: ribosomal RNA, 254 nt
Filed under: uncultured bacterium
Lineage: Bacteria
Description: partial 16S ribosomal RNA
Rfam family: Bacterial small subunit ribosomal RNA
Source: RNAcentral
CACGUAGGGUGCGAGCGUUGUCCGGAAUUAUUGGGCGUAAAGAGCUCGUAGGCGGUGUGUCGCGUCGGCCGUGAAAACCUGCAGCUUAACUGUGGGCUUGCGGUCGAUACGGGCAUCACUGGAGUUCGGCAGGGGAGACUGGAAUUCCUGGUGUAGCGGUGAAAUGCGCAGAUAUCAGGAGGAACACCGGUGGCGAAGGCGGGUCUCUGGGCCGUAACUGACGCUGAGGCGCGAAAGCGUGGGGAGCAAACAGG